CCUACGGGGGACAGCAGUGAGGAAUAUUGGUCAAUGGACGAGAGUCUGAACCAGCCAAGUAGCGUGAAGGAUGACUGCCCUAUGGGUUGUAAACUUCUUUUAUAUGGGAAUAAAAUGUUCCACGUGUGGGAUUUUGUAUGUACCAUAUGAAUAAGGAUCGGCUAACUCCGUGCCAGCAGCCGCGGUAAUACGGAGGAUCCGAGCGUUAUCCGGAUUUAUUGGGUUUAAAGGGUGCGGAGGUGGAUGGUGAAGGCAGUUGGGAAAGUUUGCGGCUCAACCGUAAAAUUGCCGUUGAAACUGGCAGUCUUGAGUACAGUAGAGGUGUGCGGAAUUCGUGGUGUAGCGGUGAAAUGCUUAGAUAUCACGAAGAACUCCGAUUGCGAAGGCAGCUCACUGGACUGCAACUGACACUGAGGCUCGAAAGUGUGGGUAUCAAACAGGAUUAGAUACCCCUGUAGUC
Molecule: ribosomal RNA, 460 nt
Filed under: uncultured bacterium
Lineage: Bacteria
Description: partial 16S ribosomal RNA
Rfam family: Bacterial small subunit ribosomal RNA
Source: RNAcentral